RNAcentral lists this small RNA (562 nucleotides) under Pongo abelii (Sumatran orangutan). RNAcentral describes it as "processed transcript". The record is from RNAcentral. Lineage: Eukaryota; Metazoa; Chordata; Mammalia; Primates; Hominidae.
AAAGAAGCCUUGGGUGCUGGAGAAGAGAUGCUCAGCCAAGGCUGCAGAGGCUUCAGCCACUAGCAUGGAUGCAGUUGGGAGGGACAAAUGCCAGUGUCACAUUCAUCAGCAGUUUGUUCACUCACUUCUACCUCUACUGAGAACAGGGAACUUGGGGUUGAGAAAACGUUUGAUGCUUUUGAAAUGCUGCGAAAUGAAGACAUGGUUGUGGUACGAAUAUGCAUGUCCAUGCCUGCCAUGAGACCACAUACAGAUCCACGGGUUUUAGAAAAACAAGAAUUACAGCAGCCAACCUAUGUUGCCCUGAGUUACAUAAAUAGAUUCAUGACAGAUGCUGCCCGCCGAGAGCAGGAGUCCCUAAAGAAGAAGAUUCAGCCGAAGCUCUCACUGACUCUGUCCAGCUCAGUGUCUCGGGGGAAUGUGUCCACUCCGCCACGCCACAGCAGUGGAAGCCUUACUCCCCCCGUGACCCCCCCCAUCACCCCCUCCUCUUCAUUCCGCAGCAGCACUCCGACAGAAAAUGAGAUCAUCACCUCAGGAAGAUGUCUGCACUCUCAUAUUC